This 497-nucleotide ribosomal RNA is filed under the name uncultured bacterium. Its description in RNAcentral is "partial 16S ribosomal RNA". It matches the Rfam family "Bacterial small subunit ribosomal RNA", at positions 28 to 507 of the family's 1533-position model. The record is from RNAcentral.
GACGAACGCUGGCGGCGUGCCUAAUACAUGCAAGUAGAACGCUGAAGCGAGGAGCUUACUCUUCUUGGAUGAGUUGCGAACGGGUGAGUAACGCGUAGGUAACCUGCCUUGUAGCGGGGGAUAACUAUUGGAAACGAUAGCUAAUACCGCAUAACAAUGGAUGACACAUGUCAUUUAUUUGAAAGGGGCAAUUGCUCCACUACAAGAUGGACCUGCGUUGUAUUAGCUAGUAGGUGAGGUAAUGGCUCACCUAGGCGACGCUACAUAGCCGACCUGAGAGGGUGAUCGGCCACACUGGGACUGAGACACGGCCCAGACUCCUACGGGAGGCAGCAGUAGGGAAUCUUCGGCAAUGGGGGCAACCCUGACCGAGCAACGCCGCGUGAGUGAAGAAGGUUUUCGGAUCGUAAAGCUCUGUUGUAAGUCAAGAACGGGUGUGAGAGUGGAAAGUUCACACUGUGACGGUAGCUUACCAGAAAGGGACGGCUAACUACGUG